CUGCUGUGAUGAACCGCUGUUAGUGCCAUCGUGUCUGGGCCACUGAUUCUCCAUGAUGGAACUGAGGAUCUGAGCAG
RNAcentral lists this small nucleolar RNA (77 nucleotides) under Sphenodon punctatus (tuatara). RNAcentral describes it as "Small nucleolar RNA SNORD66 (ENSSPUG00000013915.1)". It matches the Rfam family "Small nucleolar RNA SNORD66". Rfam says of the family: snoRNA HBII-142 is part of the C/D family of snoRNAs. It is the human orthologue of the mouse MBII-142 snoRNA and is predicted to guide 2'O-ribose methylation of small 18S rRNA at residue C1272. The record is from Rfam by way of RNAcentral. Lineage: Eukaryota; Metazoa; Chordata; Lepidosauria; Sphenodontia; Sphenodontidae.